UUUUCUUUCUUCUCCCAUCGCCGUUUUUUUUCCCCGACCCGCGAGCCACAACUCACCCUCCAUCCGUUUCUCCUUCUCUUCCCAACCGACGCGUCGUCGCCGCCGCCGCUCGCAUCGGUUUCGUUCUCCCCUACGCGUACAAAGCCUCGGCAGAAGGGAAGUCGGGCACCUUUCCUCUUCCCGUUGCUGCCACACCGAAUUCCCUCUUCUUCUCGUUCUUCUCUCUGUCUCUCUCUCGGAUGACUCAACACCGAGGCCAGAGGAGCUCGUCACCGGAGCUCGACGGAAGCCAGUGAAGUCACCGGAGCUUGACGUUGCCGAGGAAGACCUAGCAGUAUUCGGCCGAGAGAUCUCUGUUUCGGGAGUUUCAGCGACGAUCGUCGACGGUACGAUGACUAGGGCACAACGGAGGCUGGAUUCGUGUCAUCUCCCGACCAAAUCGACCUUCCCUUUCCUCACCUCGUGCUGCUCAUAGUGCGUUUCCCCUUUUCUGCUGGCCGGAUUGGACCGAGCGACGCCACCUAGCAGCGAUCCUUAAGUGAAGAAUUCCAGCAGGGAGUCUUGUUCCGUGGAGUUUUCUUGGUCCAGCCACUCAAUCUAGCAACAACUCACCUUGUUCUUUGUUCAACAGCGGCUGAGUUUGAGGUUGAGGUUGUUCAGGAGGUUCCAGUCGCUAGUCCCCCACCACUGCGCGUUGCAACGAGUUUGCACAUUUUGGUUUUCUUAUUAUGUUGGACUAUGUUUCAGACUUGUGUCUUCUGGUAUUAGGAUCUUGUAUGUUUCCUUAUUAUCGAUGGAUUUUCAUUUGGAUGUAUGUUGGUGAUUGUGUUUUAUGGGUGUAGUUGAGUAAGAUAUCGGAUUUUUAUUUUAUGAGUGUAGUUGAGUAGGAUAUCAGAUUUGUGUUUUAUGGGUGUAGUUGAGUAGGAUUUUUGCGAUGAUUUUCUUAUCUUUGCUUAUGUUUAGUUGUUACUAUUAAACUGCGUGGAUGCUUGCUAUAUUUGUACUGUUAUAUAUUAUUAUUGU
Molecule: long non-coding RNA, 1023 nt
Organism: Zingiber officinale
Lineage: Eukaryota; Viridiplantae; Streptophyta; Magnoliopsida; Zingiberales; Zingiberaceae
Exons: 3
Source: RefSeq, a predicted model, not a curated record